ACCUUCGGGCCUCUUGCCAUCGGAUGUGCCCAGAUGGGAUUAGCUAGUAGGUGGGGUAACGGCUCACCUAGGCGACGAUCCCUAGCUGGUCUGAGAGGAUGACCAGCCACACUGGAACUGAGACACGGUCCAGACUCCUACGGGAGGCAGCAGUGGGGAAUAUUGCACAAUGGGCGCAAGCCUGAUGCAGCCAUGCCGCGUGUAUGAAGAAGGCCUUCGGGUUGUAAAGUACUUUCAGCGGGGAGGAA
Molecule: ribosomal RNA, 248 nt
Filed under: Escherichia coli
Lineage: Bacteria; Pseudomonadati; Pseudomonadota; Gammaproteobacteria; Enterobacterales; Enterobacteriaceae
Description: partial 16S ribosomal RNA
Rfam family: Bacterial small subunit ribosomal RNA
Source: RNAcentral